GACGAACGCUGGCGGCGUGCCUAAUACAUGCAAGUAGAACGCACAGUUUAUACCGUAGCUUGCUACACCAUAGACUGUGAGUUGCGAACGGGUGAGUAACGCGUAGGUAACCUGCCUGGUAGCGGGGGAUAACUAUUGGAAACGAUAGCUAAUACCGCAUAAUAUUAAUUAUUGCAUGAUAAUUAAUUGAAAGGUGCAAUUGCACCACUACCAGAUGGACCUGCGUUGUAUUAGCUAGUAGGUGAGGUAACGGCUCACCUAGGCGACGAUACAUAGCCGACCUGAGAGGGUGAGCGGCCACACUGGGACUGAGACACGGCCCAGACUCCUACGGGAGGAAGCAGUAGGGAAUCUUCGGAAAUGGACGAAAGUCUGACCGAGCAACGCCGCGUGAGUGAAGAAGGUUUUCGGAUCGUAAAGCUCUGUUGUAAGAGAAGAACGGGUGUGAGAGUGGAAAGUUCACACUGUGACGGUAUCUUACCAGAAAGGGACGGCUAACUACGUG
Molecule: ribosomal RNA, 505 nt
Filed under: uncultured bacterium
Lineage: Bacteria
Description: partial 16S ribosomal RNA
Rfam family: Bacterial small subunit ribosomal RNA
Source: RNAcentral